Molecule: ribosomal RNA, 398 nt
Filed under: uncultured bacterium
Lineage: Bacteria
Description: bacterial SSU rRNA
Rfam family: Bacterial small subunit ribosomal RNA
Source: RNAcentral
UGAGGAAUAUUGCACAAUGGGCGCAAGCCUGAUGCAGCAACGCCGCGUGCGGGACGAAGGCCUUCGGGUCGUAAACCGCUUUUCAGGGGAAAGAGCAAGGACGGUACCUCAGGAAUAAGUCUCGGCUAACUACGUGCCAGCAGCCGCGGUAAAACGUAGGAGGCGAGCGUUAUCCGGAUUUACUGGGCGUAAAGCGCACGCAGGCGGCUCUGGGAGUCGGACGUGAAAGCUCCCGGCUUAACCGGGAGAGGCCGUUCGAUACUGCGGGGCUUGAGGUAGGGAGAGGAAUGCGGAGUGCCCGGUGUAGUGGUGGAAUGCGUAGAUAUCGGGAGGAACACCUGUGGCGAAAGCGGCAUUCUGGCCCUCACCUGACGCUGAGGUGCGAAAGCGUGGGUAGC